CAGUGACGUGUGGUAGGACUUCUUUAGACGGCAGGCCAGAAGGAAGAGAAGAUGCAGAUGUCAAAGGAUGCAGUGAAGAUCACGUAAUGAGUGAGGACUCAGAAUAUUCCAACCCCUUUAAUAAUUACAAUUAACCAGUUACCAGGACCAGACUGCCACUGGACACUGUCUUCCCUGCGAACCUAAAGGCCAGCGAAUACAAAGAGACCAAACUGUCUCAUUUCACUCAAACCAGUAGCUAGC
Molecule: long non-coding RNA, 243 nt
Organism: Brienomyrus brachyistius
Lineage: Eukaryota; Metazoa; Chordata; Actinopteri; Osteoglossiformes; Mormyridae
Exons: 4
Source: RefSeq, a predicted model, not a curated record